AAAUGCUUCUGGGUCUGCAGAGGAGCAAGCUGCGCUGGCCCACGAGGCCCUUCUCCCCGGGGCAGAUGGAUUUCAGGCGCCCCCCACCCCUUGAGGAGAAUAUCAAGGAAAUGGACAGAAGAGUAUAUUACAACUAUCAUCUCUGCCCUUGGCCUCGUGAGGGUCGCUGGGCUGGGACAAAGUCCUGCCUGGGCAGUUGACAUCAAAAUUCGUCGUGCCUUGCCUGCUUUAUGUGGGCAAAAGGAUGAAAGAAUUGCACUUCUGUUGCGCUUCCACUGCUAGAUCAUAAGCUCCCUGAAAACACGUUGCAUCUGUGUCUCUAGCAACUUCCACAAAUGUUUGGAGAAUAAAUUAAUGUGUGGCAGGGCGCGGUCCCUGUGAACUCUAACUGUGCUCUUUUUCUCUGUGACAGAAAAGGAGACAUUGCAGAGAAUCAACCUGUGCCUGCAGCUAGGGAUUCGUUAAUUACUUUGUUCCCUCUUUUCCUCCCUCCCUCCCUUCCUCCUUUCCUUUCGCUAACAUUUUGAUGGAUACCUCAUGUGUGCUGGAGAUCAGGCGGUGGACCAGGGAUACAAGAAACGAGACUCCUAGCCCUUGAGAUGCUCUUCAUGUGGUGAGGGGUGCUGCAUACAAGCAAACAGUUCACCAGGGCUCUGGGUGACAAGUGCCAUGGAUAGCAGUAGGGCGGCCCUCAGCCCAGCUCCUGGGGAGGGAGGAAGGGAGGGAGGAUGUCCAGGUGGAGGCUGGGUGAGUAGAAACUUACCAGGAGAAAGGCCCUUUGCCCACAUAGGUCUCCCUGCAUAGCCCACCCCCAGCCCAUUCCCCUCCCACUUAUUCCUCUGGCCUCAGGUGAAAUGUCACUUCCCUGGUGCCUGGGCCAGAUCAGGUCCUCCAGUUACAGGAUCCUGUAGCUCUUUCAUCUUCUCUUUUGUAAUACUCAUCAAAUGUACAACCGGGCAAAAUUCACCCUCCCCACCGGACUGUAAGUUUCGUGAGCCAGCACUGUGCCUGACUCCUCAUGCCCCAUAAAUACUUGUUGAGCCAAUGAAUAGUCAGACUCCUCUUAAGUUAGUGAGAAAUCCAUACAUACAUUUUCUGUUUGGGAUGCCAGGACAAGCUGUGACGGCUCCACUCCGAGUACCAGUGGGAACUGCCUGGUACCAAGGGGCUGUGGUUUCAAAUUUAUUAUUUUGUGAUAUUCUGCACCUCGGUGAUUUUGAAACUGCCUUCUUCCAAAUGAGUGUCAAGUAGAUGCUCCUCAAAAAGGGAUCCUCGGGCAAACAGGUUUCUUUGCCAGAGGAUUUUACAGAGCCUAUGAUGUGUUCAUGUGCACUGUCCUCAGGCAGGUAGUUUGUUGAAGAAGCAUCUAGUAACAUUUGCAGCUGGAGGAUAUCGAUGAAGCUCAGUGUUAACUUUGCCGCACCGUUUCUCCGUAACUCCUCCUAGGCUCUGAGAGAUAGAAGGAGCUGGGAUCAAGGGAUCUGCACAAGAUUAAUUUGCCAUAAUGAAGGUCUACUCCUUCCCCUUGAUUUCUUUGUUAUGCCAUGUGACAAAUUGUUGUUUUUGACAAACAGAGCAUUGAGGGAGGCCGAGGCAGAUAGGCAGAUAGAUCAGCUGAGGUCAGGGGUUCAACACCAGCCUGGCCAACAUGGUGAAACCCCAUCUCUACUAAAAGUACAAAAAUUAGCCAGGCAUGGUGGCAUGAGUCUAUAGUCCCAGCUGCUUGGGAGACUGAGGAAGGAGAAUCACUUUAACCUGGGAUGUAGAGGCUGCAGUGAGCCAAGAUUACACCAUUGCACUCCAGCCUGGGCAACAGAGCCAGAUUCCACCUCAAAAAAAAAAAAAAGGAUUGAAGAUGUAGAUUAAGGAGGCAUUGGGGGUACUCUAUAGUGUCACCUGAGUUUAAAUCCAGCUCUGGCACUACUUAGCUGUAUGACUUUGGAGGACUUCCUUAGCAUCUCUGUGCCCAGGUACUUUAUUUGUACAUAGAGAUAAUAGUUUCUAAUUUACAGUCUUGUUAAGACGUUAAAAGCUCUUAUAGGCACGUAGAAUUCUCAUGGUAGAUAUAAAUUUUAUUUAAAUUGCUAAUAAUUGGUUAAUUAAAAAAUAAAUAUCCAACCUCUAAUAGGUUAAUUUAACUAAUUAAGCCUGGUGUAUUAAUGGAGAGGGAUCACAGUGGCUGAUAGCCCGAGGGACUAGGUUUU
RNAcentral lists this long non-coding RNA (2204 nucleotides) under Homo sapiens (human). RNAcentral's name for it is "HSALNT0357155". The record is from RNAcentral. Lineage: Eukaryota; Metazoa; Chordata; Mammalia; Primates; Hominidae.